Molecule: ribosomal RNA, 468 nt
Filed under: uncultured bacterium
Lineage: Bacteria
Description: partial 16S ribosomal RNA
Rfam family: Bacterial small subunit ribosomal RNA
Source: RNAcentral
GACGAACGCUGGCGGCGUGCUUAACACAUGCAAGUCGAACGGAAAGGCCCUGCUUUUGUGGGGUGCUCGAGUGGCGAACGGGUGAGUAACCCGUGAGUAACCUGCCCUUGACUUUGGGAUAACUUCAGGAAACUGGGGCUAAUACCGGAUAGGAGCUCCUGCUGCAUGGUGGGGGUUGGACAGUUUCGGCGGUUGGGGAUGGACUCGCGGCUUAUCAGCUUGUUGGUGGGGUAGUGGCUUACCAAGGCUUUGAUGGGUAGCCGGCCUGAGAGGGUGACCGGCCACAUUGGUACUGAGAGACGGCCCAGAGUCCUACGGGAGGCAGCAGGGGGGAAUAUGGCACAAUGGGCGGAAGCCUGAUGCAGCAACGCCGCGUGCGGGAUGACGGCCUUCGGGUUGUAAACCGCUUUCGCCCGUGACGAAGCGUGAGUGACGGUAAUGGGUAAAGAAGCACCGGCUAACUACGUG